CUGUCUGCACGUGUCCUGGAAAGCGGUGUCGGCUUGCAGGAGCCCCAGGGCUUUUAGAAGCGGGCCAGGCCACUGCUCUUUCAAAGGAGGAGGGAGGCAGAGGGCUCACGGAUCAGUGAAUUUUCCGCUGACACCAGGCCUUGAGGGCCAUGGGAUCAUUCUGUGCUGCAGCGAGGCCCUGCCUGCCUCAGCAGAUGUGGUGAGCCCA
RNAcentral lists this long non-coding RNA (208 nucleotides) under Homo sapiens (human). RNAcentral's name for it is "HSALNT0389106". Lineage: Eukaryota; Metazoa; Chordata; Mammalia; Primates; Hominidae. The record is from RNAcentral.